Loxodonta africana (African savanna elephant) is the source of this 658-nucleotide long non-coding RNA. RefSeq annotates it as long intergenic non-protein coding RNA 2915. NCBI's taxonomy places the organism in Eukaryota, Metazoa, Chordata, Mammalia, Proboscidea, Elephantidae. The transcript is spliced from 2 exons. The record is from RefSeq and is a predicted model, not a curated record.
AUGUGGGUGUGGCGAAUCCAAGUGGCACAGACGCUGCACCUCCUGACCAGCCGAGCCACCGCAGUCAGCCAGGAAGCUCAGAGAGGAGUGAAAUUUAUUAUUGGCCAGAAUGGUGACAGGAGACCCCAGAGGACUGCGCCGCAAAGAAUUUGCUGAGCCUCGUGGCUAAAGUCCCUGGCCUAGUUUGAUCUUGAAGUCAUUGUCUUGGCUAAUCCUUCAAAUCUGUUCCUGUACUUAGGAGCCACUCAGCAUGUGGCGGAGCUCUCCCUCCCAGGCUCCUUUACAUCGACCUGUCAGAGCAGACUUUCAGGGGACAUGCACAUCACAUCAAGUCAUCCCACAGCUGUCCCUUUCAAAUGAGUUGGAGCAGAACCAACUAUAUGGAGAAGUCAUAAACGAGGAAACAUGCAACCCAAGGAUAUUCAAUGGCUUUGCAUAGCUCUUUUCACAGAACACUCAGUCUCUUGGGUGUGUCGUGGGUUGUACAGAAUGUGAGUGUAAGCAAACUGACUCUUGGCCCAUUUGUGGCUCACUCUGCCUGACAGGAGACUCAAGAGAACAUUUGGGAGUCCAAACUCUUCAUUAUCUCAAUGAAGUGUUCUUCAAUUUCAUAGCUCCAAGAAGCAACAAAUUUCAGAGCUGGGGUAAAAGGAUUUAG